UUCUCGCGCAUGCGUCGCACAGGUCAGAUUUCCGGUCCGGAUUGGGCAGCAGUACGAGCUACAGCCAAGUGCAGCUUUUUAAUUCAGUUUUUCUGUUUAAUAUUCUUAUCGCUGUUGUUAUUCUGCACAACCACUGUUAUCGCGACGGACAUGACGAGGGGUAGUUAAGGGUGCACUGCCUCUACCGACAGCUGUGGCGGACUGUUGCGUGGUUGGGCAUGCUGUGAGCACUCUAUGGGACGUGUCGUCCCCCUAACAGGCAGCAGGACAGCUGUGGGAGAUAGACGCACUACUGGUGUCAGAGACUGCAGCUUAACUUCAAAUUGGGAGAAAUGGGCAAACGUAAAGAUCUGAGUGACUUUGACAAGGGACGGAUUGUCAUGGCCAGACGACUGGGUCGGAGCAUCUCUGAAACGGCACGGCUUGUGGGCUGUUCCCGGUCGGCGGUGGUGAAUACCUACCAGCAGUGGUUAAAGGAGGGAAGAACUACGAACCGGCGACAGGGUGUGGGGCGCCCACGCCUCAUCGACGCGCAGGGGCAGCGGCGGCUGUCCCGUCUGGUACGGAGCGACAGAAAGGCUACUGUGGCACAACUGACGGAAAAAUUUAAUUCUGCACACGAAACAACUGUAUCGGAACACACAGUGCAUCGCACCCUGUUGCGUAUGGGGCUGCGUUGCCGCAGUCCGGUUCGAGUUCCAAGAAAAAUGAGCAUAAAGUCAGAAAGCAGACUGGACCAAAAAUUGUACAUAAGUUCCUUUCCUACCCUCUCUGAUCAGACUGAAAGUAUAUAUGGUUAGAUUGAAAGGUUGGCUGAGGAACAUCACAUGAUUCUUUGCUAUGCGAUUAAACAGCCUUCCAGGAGGCUGCAAGCUAACAUGAAUAUAACACCAUAUGUCUAUAUACCAUAUACCUGUCUAUGUCCUUUUGUCAGUGGUAGUUUUUUUGUUUCAUUUUUAUAUUUGUUUUUAUUCGAGAUCCACUUUAGUUUUAGUUAGGUUUUCGUGUGGUUUUAUUAGUCUUUAAGGAUGUAUAUCUGUCUUGUUUUUAUAUAUUUUAGUUUAGGUUUUAGCAAUUUUAUUUCUAGGGAUAGAUGGAAGAC
Brienomyrus brachyistius is the source of this 1102-nucleotide long non-coding RNA. RefSeq lists it as uncharacterized. The transcript is spliced from 3 exons. The record is from RefSeq and is a predicted model, not a curated record. Lineage: Eukaryota; Metazoa; Chordata; Actinopteri; Osteoglossiformes; Mormyridae.